CAUGUCCUUUUGAUAAUAAUUUAAGGUCUGAUCUGCUCAAUGAUGAUUAAAUAGCCGCAGUAUUUUGACUGUGCAAAGGUAGCAUAAUAAUUAGUUUCUUAAUUAGGAACUGGAAUGAAUGAUUGGACAAGAAAGUUUCUGUCUCUUUUUUAAUUUUAUUGAAUUUUAUUUUUAAGUGAAAAAGCUUAAAUGUUUGUAAAAGACGAGAAGACCCUAUAGAGUUUAAUAUUUGUAUUUAUUAAUCAGUUAGAAUAUUUAAUUAAAUUCAAUUAUUUAGUUGGGGUGAUUUAAAGAUUUGUAAAAUUCUUUAUAUAAAAAAUUGUUGAUUAAUAAUUUAAUAAUCUAUUAGUUGUAAGACUAAAAUAAAUUACCUUAGGGAUAACAGCGUAAUUUUUCUUUAAAGCUCUUAUUAAAAGGAAAGUUUGCGACCUCGAUGUUGGAUUAAAAUUAAUUUUUGGUGCAGUAACUAAAAAAUUAGGUCUGUUCGACCUUUAAAAUUUUACAUGAUCUGAGUUUAGACCGGCGUGAGCCAGGUCGGAUUCUAUCUUUAAAAAUUGAUUAUAUUUUAGUACGAAAGGACCAAGUAUAAAUUAAAUUAAUUG
This 602-nucleotide ribosomal RNA is filed under the name Xylobanus sp. UPOL 000120. RNAcentral describes it as "partial 16S ribosomal RNA". It matches the Rfam family "Bacterial large subunit ribosomal RNA", at positions 1816 to 2714 of the family's 2925-position model. Lineage: Eukaryota; Metazoa; Arthropoda; Insecta; Coleoptera; Lycidae. The record is from RNAcentral.